GUAAAAUAUCCAACAACUGGUUUCUUUCCUGCUAUCGGAAUAAGAAGUGAAGGUGCCACAGUUAGAUUACACUUAAAUGCACAAUCGAACGAGAUAGUCGGAAUAGCAAUAGACGAAACUGACCAAAUUACAAAACAGAUGGAGGUAUCACAGAAGGAUGCAUUUUUAGACGGAAGUUUCUUCAAGGCAACACGUAAACAGAAUAUUCUGACGUCUGCACUUAAAAAUAAUAUACAGGAAAACCCGACUGCUCCUGAUGCUGGGUGGGAAUAUUAUGAAUUAAAAAGAUCGUAUGACACACUGCAGUCGGUCCAUUCAGAUAAACGAGAGGAAAAUGAACAGCUGUUCGAUUUUUAAAACCUUUGAAAAAAGAAUGACGAAUACCAAUUUUCAUCGAUGAUGUGAAGAAUAAAUUUUAUGGACAAAGAUGGAUUUUUUUUAAAUGAUGGACUCAAUUGACG
Molecule: long non-coding RNA, 461 nt
Organism: Mytilus californianus (California mussel)
Lineage: Eukaryota; Metazoa; Mollusca; Bivalvia; Mytilida; Mytilidae
Exons: 3
Source: RefSeq, a predicted model, not a curated record